Molecule: ribosomal RNA, 460 nt
Filed under: uncultured bacterium
Lineage: Bacteria
Description: partial 16S ribosomal RNA
Rfam family: Bacterial small subunit ribosomal RNA
Source: RNAcentral
CCUACGGGAGGCAGCAGUGAGGAAUAUUGGUCAAUGGACGAGAGUCUGAACCAGCCAAGUAGCGUGAAGGAUGACGGCCCUAUGGGUUGUAAACUUCUUUUAUAAAGGAAUAAAACGAGGCACGUGUGCCUUUUUGCAUAUACUUUAUGAAUAAGGAUCGGCUAACUCCGUGCCAGCAGCCGCGGUAAUACGGAGGAUCUGAGCGUUAGCCGGAUUUAUUGGGUUUAAAGGGAGCGGAGAUGGGUUGUUAAGUCAGUUGUGAAAGUUUGCGGCUCAACCGUAAAAUUGCAAUUGAUACUGGCAGCCUUGAGUACAGUUGAGGUAGGCGGAAUUCGUGGUGUAGCGGUGAAAUGCUUAGAUAUCACGAAGAACCCCGAUUGCGAAGGCAGCUUACUAAACUGUGACUGACAUUGAUGCUCGAAAGUGUGGGUAUCAAACAGGAUUAGAUACCCCGGUAGUC